GCACCAUUUAGCUAGUAAGAAAAUAGCUGUAGCAUUACACAACAUUCACUAGAACGGAAAAUGAUCUCCAUGGCCAACGAAUCCAGAAUUAUCAUCGCAUCAAUUUAUUGGAUUUGAUUCUCAACAGGACUGGAGUUUCCGGCUAAACAUAAUUUUUAGACAUUUUUUGCACAUUAAAAAAUUUCAUAUUUGUCAUAUAAUCUAUAGGAGCAAAUCAAGCAGACGAUUUGAGAGAUAUGGCUCACAACGAUGAGCAAAUAGACCACUAAUCAAAGUAGGAGCGGCUCAAUGCAAUUGGGGACUUAAGGCGAACUCAAAGGCUCCAACAUAAAUGUAUUUAGGGCCUCAAUGCAUAAAUAAAGAAAGAGAUAAUAAAUUUCCUUAAGUAAAGAUACUCCUCAGUACAAUUAUAGCUACAAAGAUACGUAGUAUUUGAGGCUUCCAAAUACUUUUGGGGUCUCAAUGCAUUUGAACACUUACCUUGGAAUUCACUAUAAUAAAUGCAUUUGGGGGCCAGAGUCUUAGACGACCGCCUAGUCGCCUAAAGAUUGAGCCGGCUCUGAAUU
Molecule: long non-coding RNA, 566 nt
Filed under: Phoenix dactylifera (date palm)
Lineage: Eukaryota; Viridiplantae; Streptophyta; Magnoliopsida; Arecales; Arecaceae
Description: long non-coding RNA (PDAC_LNC013359)
Source: RNAcentral